GUGUCAGCCGCCGCGGUAAUACGGAGGGUGCAAGCGUUAUCCGGAUUCACUGGGUUUAAAGGGUGCGUAGGUGGGCAGGUAAGUCCGCGGUGAAAUCCCCGAGCUUAACUUGGGAACUGCCGUUGAUACUAUCUGUCUUGAAUAUCGUGGAGGUAAGCGGAAUAUGUCAUGUAGCGGUGAAAUGCUUAGAGAUGACAUAGAACACCAAUUGCGAAGGCAGCUUGCUACACGAUAAUUGACACUGAGGCACGAAAGCGUGGGGAGCAAACAGGAUUAGAAACCCGCGUAGUCC
RNAcentral lists this ribosomal RNA (292 nucleotides) under uncultured bacterium. RNAcentral describes it as "partial 16S ribosomal RNA". It matches the Rfam family "Bacterial small subunit ribosomal RNA", at positions 505 to 796 of the family's 1533-position model. The record is from RNAcentral.